Molecule: long non-coding RNA, 759 nt
Filed under: Monodelphis domestica (gray short-tailed opossum)
Lineage: Eukaryota; Metazoa; Chordata; Mammalia; Didelphimorphia; Didelphidae
Description: lncRNA (ENSMODG00000037457.1)
Source: RNAcentral
CUCUCCCUCUCAUUUUACCAUUGAGGAAAAUAAGGCACAUGGGAGAUUAAUUGACUUGCCCAAAGUUUCUUAGGUAAGCAGUAGAGACAGAAUUUGAACCCAUGUCCUCUGACUCCAGAAUCAGUACUUUUUCCAUUGUACUCUGCUGCUUCAAGCCCUGCCUCUGAGAUAUACUCAGUGUGGCUCUGAGGACAACACUUACCUGCUCUCUGCCCCCAGCCAAUUCUAGAUUUUCAGCUGUUGAGCAGUUGUGUUGAUAGGAGGAGAUUGCUUGUUAGAAGUUCCCUCGACCCAGAUAAAGAACAAAAACAAAAACAAACCACUCUCUAAAUCAUUGACUGUGGUAAUAAUAUCUCAAUAUGGUUAGAGUUGCUGAAAUACUCAAAAUGAAUGACAAAGAACCAGUUGAUGGGUCUAGAGAUAAUUUUUAUGCUUAGCUAGAUAUUCAAAAGGUUAUAGAAUGAAAGCAGUUUAGCUGAAUGGGCAGCCCAGCAGGUCACUCUACUUCUGUCAAAACCCCGCCCUGAUCUUCAGCUGGGUAACAAGCUAUUCAUUUCCUAGUACUUUUUGGAAACUGCCAACUUUAAGACAUAAACAGGUUGAUCUAAGCUGGUGAUGUGUGUGGGUGAAGAUGGUGUGAAAGAAGACUUGACAGAGAAGCACAACAGAGGAUAUAAUUCGAUUUGUUCUUGUCCAGAACAGUUUAGAAAAAAAAUCUGGGAAGAGAAGAUAUGUAAACUAAAACAUCUAAUUACUUAA